Molecule: ribosomal RNA, 253 nt
Filed under: uncultured bacterium
Lineage: Bacteria
Description: partial 16S ribosomal RNA
Rfam family: Bacterial small subunit ribosomal RNA
Source: RNAcentral
UACGUAGGGUGCAAGCGUUGUCCGGAAUUAUUGGGCGUAAAGAGCUCGUAGGCGGCUUGUCACGUCGGCUGUGAAAACCCGGGGCUCAACCCCGGGUCUGCAGUCGAUACGGGCAGGCUAGAGUGUGGUAGGGGAGAUCGGAAUUCCUGGUGUAGCGGUGAAAUGCGCAGAUAUCAGGAGGAACACCGGUGGCGAAGGCGGAUCUCUGGGCCAUUACUGACGCUGAGGAGCGAAAGCGUGGGGAGCGAACAGG